GAUUGAUAUAAAUGUCGUGGUAUCUGAUUGAUAUAAAUGUAAUGGUAUCUGAUUGAGUUGACAUGUUAACUUUCAAUCUCCACUACAGACAACAUUAAUGAUGUUCUCGUUAAACUAGGAAAUAUCAUUUAUUACAUAAAAAGUAUAUUUAGUUACAGGUUAAGAAGGCUAGAUGCUUUAUUUACAGUUUUACAGAGUUAAAUGAAAACAAAUGUAUGUCUGCUGUCUGUUUUUCUAGUAACAAAAUGACACGGGUUCGGAUCAUAAUCAAAAGCGUAUUCCUUGUUUUCUCUUUGACCAGACAGCAAUGUGGAGGAGGCAGACACAGACACAGGUACAGGUAUCGUCCUUUUGGGGGCUCCAUCAAACGUCAGCUGUCUCCCACCCCCAGGGGAAAGAAUGGACCAGUGGAUACACAACAUCUGAUCUGAAGUCAGCACACCGGCCUCUAAGAGCAGCCCUACUUCUAGCCAACCUCACCUCUGCAUCACACAGUUCAAGGUUUAGGAGAGAGAGAGAAAACAGUACUCCGUAGUACUCAAUAGUACUUCAGUAGUACUUCAGUGUUCCACGGUCUGUGUUUCAGAUGUCUUUUUCCGUUGGAAAGGAUUCUAUAGGAGAGCAAAAUGUUCGUCAUCAUCAUUGUCCUCCUCCUCCUCUUCAUCCUCCUCCUCAUCCUUGUUUUCUAUUCUUCUUAGUAGCUCUGUAUUCCAUAGUCAGCCCAUUAAUUGAAUAUACCACCUUAGUGAGGACUUAACUCAUCACCCCUGUGUGUGUCUAUAUGCCUUGAUCUGAACUCUCACAGAGAAAAAUAUAUAUAUACAUACUAUUUCAGGGAUUGGAACCAAACAUUCACUGUUUUUUUGUUUGUUUGUACUUGCAUAGUCCUGUAGCUUAGGUACAGCGAUAUGACACAGAGCUGUCGAGAUAUGAGACACACACAGACAGACGGAGUUCAACCAAUCAUUUUCUGUCCAUUCAUUUCGCACAACAACAGUGAAAUGGUUCAUCAUUUACUUGGAGAAGAGAAAGUGAAUAUACUGUGCCUGUGUUUUGGUUUCUGCGGUCUCAGAAAGGCCACAUCCCAAAUGGCACCCUAUUCCCUAUAUAGUGCACUACUUUUGACCAGCGCCCAUAGGACCCAAAGUAGUGCACUAUUUUAGACCAGGGCCCAUAGCAUACAAAGUAGUGCACUACUUUAGACCAGGGCCCAUAGCAUACAAAGUAGUGCACUACUUUAGACCAGGGCCCAUAGCAUACAAAGUAGUGCACUACUUUAGACCAGGGCCCAUAGCAUACAAAGUAGUGCACUAUUUUAGACCAGGGCCCAUAGCAUCCAAAGUAGUGCACUACUUUAGACCAGGGCCCAUAGCAUACAAAGUAGUGCACUACUUUAGACCAGGGCCCAUAGCAUACAAAGUAGUGCACUACUUUAGACCAGGGCCCAUAGAAUACAAAGUAGUGCACUACUUUAGACCAGGGCCCAUAGCAUACAAAGUAGUGCACUACUUUAGACCAGGGCCCAUAGCAUCCAAAGUAGUGCACUAUUUUAGACCAGGGCCCAUAGCAUCCAAAGUAAUACACUAAUUUAGACCAGGGCCCCAUAGGAUCCAAAGUAGUGCACUAUUUUAGACCAGGGCCCAUAGGACUCAAAGUAGUGCACUAUAAAGGGCAUAGGGUGCCAUUUGGGAUGCAUACUCAGAGUUUUUGAAUACUUUUUGGCUUCUAGGGAUAAUAAUCCUAACGUACUGUAGAUAGAAAUAUAAAGUAUUUGAACAAUAAGCACAGACAUCCUGCUGUGUUUGACAGUAAUGAUUGGAACAACAAUAUUCUGACAACGCAAGAAGUAGCAUGAAGACCCUGACCAGAAAGCAGAUGGUUAAAACAUGUGUAUAAUGAAAGAAGAAGACGAACAAAGAGAAGAAGAAGAAGAUGAAAGAGAAGAAGAACAACAAAGAGAAGAAGAAGAAAGAGAAGAAGAAGAAGGAGAAAGAGAAUAAGAGGAACAGAGAAGAAGAAGAAGAAGAAAGAGAAUAAGAGGAACAGAGAAGAAGAAGAAGAAGAAGAAAGAGAAUAAGAGGAACAAAGAGAAGAAGAAGAAGAAAGAGAAUAAGAGGAACAAAGAGAAGAAGAAGAAGAAGGAGAAUAAGAGGAACAAAGAGAAGAAGAAGAAGAAGGAGAAUAAGAGGAACAAAGAGAAGAAGAAGAAGAAGGAGAAAGAGAAUAAGAGGAACAAAGAGAAGAAGAAGAAGAAAGAGAAUAAGAGGAACAAAGAGAAGAAGAAGAAGAAAGAGAAUAAGAGGAACAAAGAGAAGAAGAAGAAGAAAGAGAAUAAGAGGAACAGAGAAGAAGAAGAAGAAGAAGAAAGAGAAUAAGAGGAACAAAGAGAAGAAGAAGAAGAAAGAGAAUAAGAGGAACAAAGAGAAGAAGAAGAAGAAGGAGAAUAAGAGGAACAAAGAGAAGAAGAAGAAGAAGGAGAAUAAGAGGAACAAAGAGAAGAAGAAGAAGAAGGAGAAUAAGAGGAACAAAGAGAAGAAGAAGAAGAAGGAGAAAGAGAAUAAGAGGAACAAAGAGAAGAAGAAGAAGAAAGAGAAUAAGAGGAACAAAGAGAAGAAGAAGAAGAAAGAGAAUAAGAGGAACAGAGAAGAAGAAGAAGAAGAAGAAAGAGAAUAAGAGGAACAAAGAGAAGAAGAAGAAGAAAGAGAAUAAGAGGAACAAAGAGAAGAAGAAGAAGAAGGAGAAUAAGAGGAACAAAGAGAAGAAGAAGAAGAAGGAGAAUAAGAGGAACAAAGAGAAGAAGAAGAAGAAGGAGAAAGAGAAUAAGAGGAACAAAGAGAAGAAGAAGAAGAAAGAGAAUAAGAGGAACAAAGAGAAGAAGAAGAAAAAAGAGAAUAAGAACAAAGAGAAGAAGAAGAAAAAAGAGAAUAAGAGGAACAAAGAGAAGAAGAAGAAGAAGGAGAAAGAGAAUAAGAGGAACAAAGAGAAGAAGAAGAAAGAGAAGAAGAAGAAAAAAGAGAAUAAGAGGAACAAAGAGAAGAAGAAGAAGAAGGAGAAAGAGAAUAAGAGGAACAGAGAGAAGAAGAAGAAAGAGACAGAUAGAAAUCAAAGAGUGGAAGAGAAUGACUAAAAGAGGUCAACAAACAGACAGGUAGAGAUGGAAAGGCAGAAACAAGUAAAGGGAAACAGCAUAAAAAGCUGAAGGUCAAGUUUCUGCUGCCAGUAGUUCAAUACAAGGCCACAUUAACCUGCAAAUAUGCACAAUCCUUCUCCCAUCAAUACCAGUACAGACAGGCCUCCCUCUCUUCUGCUCAAUCACAGCAAAGUAGAAUGUCAACACAGCAAAGUAGAAUGUCAAUCACAGCAAAGUAGAAUGUCAACACACCGAAUAGAAUGUCAACACAGCAAAGUAGAAUGUCAAUCACAGCAAAGUAGAAUGUCAAUCACAGCAAAUCAAAACGUGCGUUUGUUGUUUUACAGAUUAGUUUCAACCACUUUGAGACGAGUACAGACACAGUAUUGAAAAUGA
Oncorhynchus tshawytscha (Chinook salmon) is the source of this 3526-nucleotide long non-coding RNA. Lineage: Eukaryota; Metazoa; Chordata; Actinopteri; Salmoniformes; Salmonidae. The record is from Ensembl.